RNAcentral lists this ribosomal RNA (1167 nucleotides) under Salmonella enterica subsp. enterica serovar Typhimurium. Its description in RNAcentral is "bacterial SSU rRNA". It matches the Rfam family "Bacterial small subunit ribosomal RNA", at positions 35 to 1153 of the family's 1533-position model. Lineage: Bacteria; Pseudomonadati; Pseudomonadota; Gammaproteobacteria; Enterobacterales; Enterobacteriaceae. The record is from RNAcentral.
GCGGGGCGGCAGCUACACAUGCAGUCGACGGUAACAGGAAGCAGCUUGCUGCUUCGCUGACGAGUGGCGGACGGGUGAGUAAUGUCUGGGAAACUGCCUGAUGGAGGGGGAUAACUACUGGAAACGGUGGCUAAUACCGCAUAACGUCGCAAGACCAAAGAGGGGGACCUUCGGGCCUCUUGCCAUCAGAUGUGCCCAGAUGGGAUUAGCUUGUUGGUGAGGUAACGGCUCACCAAGGCGACGAUCCCUAGCUGGUCUGAGAGGAUGACCAGCCACACUGGAACUGAGACACGGUCCAGACUCCUACGGGAGGCAGCAGUGGGGAAUAUUGCACAAUGGGCGCAAGCCUGAUGCAGCCAUGCCGCGUGUAUGAAGAAGGCCUUCGGGUUGUAAAGUACUUUCAGCGGGGAGGAAGGUGUUGUGGUUAAUAACCGCAGCAAUUGACGUUACCCGCAGAAGAAGCACCGGCUAACUCCGUGCCAGCAGCCGCGGUAAUACGGAGGGUGCAAGCGUUAAUCGGAAUUACUGGGCGUAAAGCGCACGCAGGCGGUCUGUCAAGUCGGAUGUGAAAUCCCCGGGCUCAACCUGGGAACUGCAUUCGAAACUGGCAGGCUUGAGUCUUGUAGAGGGGGGUAGAAUUCCAGGUGUAGCGGUGAAAUGCGUAGAGAUCUGGAGGAAUACCGGUGGCGAAGGCGGCCCCCUGGACAAAGACUGACGCUCAGGUGCGAAAGCGUGGGGAGCAAACAGGAUUAGAUACCCUGGUAGUCCACGCCGUAAACGAUGUCUACUUGGGAGGUUGUGCCCUUGAGGCGUGGCUUCCGGAGCUAACGCGUUAAGUAGACCGCCCGGGGGAGUACGGCCGCAAGGUUAAAACUCAAAUGAAAUUGACGGGGGGCCCGCACAAGCGGUGGAGCAAGGGGGUUUAAAUUCGAUGCAACGCGGAAAAACCUUACCUGGGUCUUGACAUCCACAGAAAAAUUCCAGAAGAUGGGAUUUGGUGCCUUUCGGGGAACUGUUGAAGACAGGGUGCUGGCAUGGGCUGUCCUUCCGCCUCGUGGUUGUGGAAAUGUUUGGGGUUAAAGUCCCGCCAACGAAGCGGCAACCCCUUAAUUCCUUUUGUUGGCCCAGCGGAUUAAGGGUCCGGGAAACUCCAAAAGGAAGACUGGC